GACGAACGCUGGCGGCGUGCUUAACACAUGCAAGUCGAACGGAAAGGCCCUGCUUUUGUGGGGUGCUCGAGUGGCGAACGGGUGAGUAACACGUGAGUAACCUGCCCUUGACUUUGGGAUAACUUCAGGAAACUGGGGCUAAUACCGGAUAGGAGCUCCUGCUGCAUGGUGGGGGUUGGAAAGUUUCGGCGGUUGGGGAUGGACUCGCGGCUUAUCAGCUUGUUGGUGGGGUAGUGGCUUACCAAGGCUUUGACGGGUAGCCGGCCUGGGAGGGUGACCGGCCACACUGGGACUGAGAUACGGCCCAGACUCCUACGGGAGGCAGCAGUGGGGAAUAUUGCACAAUGGGCGGAAGCCUGAUGCAGCAACGCCGCGUGCGGGAUGACGGCCUUCGGGUUGUAAACCGCUUUCGCCUGUGACGAAGCGUGAGUGACGGUAAUGGGUAAAGAAGCACCGGCUAACUACGUG
Molecule: ribosomal RNA, 468 nt
Filed under: uncultured bacterium
Lineage: Bacteria
Description: partial 16S ribosomal RNA
Rfam family: Bacterial small subunit ribosomal RNA
Source: RNAcentral